RNAcentral lists this ribosomal RNA (200 nucleotides) under uncultured bacterium. RNAcentral's name for it is "partial 16S ribosomal RNA". It matches the Rfam family "Bacterial small subunit ribosomal RNA", at positions 524 to 721 of the family's 1533-position model. The record is from RNAcentral.
UACGUAGGGGUCGAGCGUUGUCCGGAGUUACUGGGCGUAAAGCGUGUGCAGGCGGCUCAUUGCGCCCGGCGUGAAAGCCCCCGGCUCAACCGGGGAGGGUCGUCGGGGACGGGUGAGCUUGAGGGUAUCGAGGGGCAGGUAGAAUUCCCGGUGUAGUGGUGGAAAUGCGUAGAGAUCGGGAGGAAUACCCGUGGCGAAGG